RNAcentral lists this ribosomal RNA (253 nucleotides) under uncultured bacterium. Its description in RNAcentral is "partial 16S ribosomal RNA". It matches the Rfam family "Bacterial small subunit ribosomal RNA", at positions 524 to 776 of the family's 1533-position model. The record is from RNAcentral.
UACGAGGGGGGCAAGCGUUGUUCGGAAUUAUUGGGCGUAAAGGGUGCGUAGGCGGUUUGGUAAGUCUUAUGUGAAAUCUACAGGCUCAACUUGUAGUCUGCAUGAGAAACUGCCGGGCUUGAGUAUGGGAGAGGUGAGUGGAAUUCCUGGUGUAGCGGUGAAAUGCGUAGAUAUCAGGAGGAACACCGAUGGCGAAGGCAGGUCUCUGGGCCACUACUGACGCUGAGAAGCGAAAGCAUGGGGAGCGAACAGG